This is a long non-coding RNA of Scophthalmus maximus (turbot), 449 nucleotides long. RefSeq lists it as uncharacterized. The transcript is spliced from 2 exons. NCBI's taxonomy places the organism in Eukaryota, Metazoa, Chordata, Actinopteri, Pleuronectiformes, Scophthalmidae. The record is from RefSeq and is a predicted model, not a curated record.
CAGAACCUUCCUCUUUGCAGAGAAACUUUUCUCUCUUCUUCAACUUGCCUGAGAAGUCGCAUGUGAUCGUGUGUGUGGUCUUUUCUGUUGCAGACUCAGUUCUCGGAUUCUGGCAGCGGGCUGCAGGUGAAUUCGACCCAUCCUCCCUGGCAUCUGUCUUCUUCUUCUUCUUCUUCUUCUUCUUCUACUUCUUCUUCUCUGGCCUCGCAGCCUGUCCAUCAAAAAGAACAUUUCACUGUCACAUCAGCUCCGACACAGAAACACCAUCAUGUGAACGUGGCCCAGAUCAGCAGCUGUUCAGUUAAACUCCAGAGAAAACCUCCAAGAAUCUCACUUUGUAUAGAUUUAGUAAAGACAUUUGUCUUAGUUGCUCAACCGUGACCAUAAACUGUGUAUGACUUGGAUUUCUUUGUUUAAAUGAAACAGUAAUAAUCACCUGCCUGUCGACA